Molecule: non-coding RNA, 380 nt
Organism: Caenorhabditis elegans
Lineage: Eukaryota; Metazoa; Nematoda; Chromadorea; Rhabditida; Rhabditidae
Source: Ensembl
AAUAGGGUUUGGGACUGCUAGGCUAUAAACUAAAUGGUUCAGGCUUAGGUUUAGCAUAGGUUUAGGCAUAGGUUUAGGUUUAGGUUAGGCUUAGGCAUAGGCUUAGGCUUAGGUUUAGGCUUAGGCCUAGGCUUAGGCCUAGGAUUAGGCCUAGGCUUAGGCCUAGGAUUAGGCCUAGGCUUAGGCCUAGGAUUAGGCCUAGGCUUAGGCUUAGGCCUAGGAUUAGGCUUAGGUUUAGCAUAGGUUUAGGCAUAGGUUAGGUUUAGGCUUAGGCUUAGGCUUAGGUUUAGGCUUAGGCCUAGGCUUAGGCCUAGGCUUAGGCUUAGGCCUAGGAUUAGGCUUAGGUUUGGUUUUUGGCUUAGCCUUAGGCUUUGGCUUAG